Molecule: long non-coding RNA, 2168 nt
Filed under: Olea europaea (common olive)
Lineage: Eukaryota; Viridiplantae; Streptophyta; Magnoliopsida; Lamiales; Oleaceae
Description: long non-coding RNA (OEUR_LNC004730)
Source: RNAcentral
GACACUUGUGUGCAUGUCGUUAAAGCUUAUGCCAGUUGUUAUUUUGUUUAUUAUAUUUUAAUAUUAGAAUAUUAGUUUCCAAAACACCAGCAUUUAGCUUGAUUGCUGUAUACCAGACUUUAUAGGGUAGCUUGAGCGCUCUUAUGAAUAUUAUUCAAUUUUAUGUCAUACCAGUUGCAAUUGAUUCAGCAAAUCACAGGAGAAAAAGUCUCUCUUCUUCUUUGAGGAUUUAGUUUCCUUUCAGGCUUCCAUGCCACUCUCCCCUUCGGUCUUUUGGGUUUCCAAUUAUGGUUUCCUGACUUUGUUUAAUUCUCUGUCCGUUAGUGAUUGUUUUGAGCAAUUCAAGUGAUCCCCUGUAUUUUUGUUAGGAUUUCUUUCUAUUUGUGUAGAAGUUUUGUACGCAUGAUCAUCAAUUCUAGCUGCCCCCAAAUACAAAAAAGGCCUAUUAUUAAGACAGUCUGUUGCUCCAGGUACAUCUUCUUCGUAUUUUACUGCUUUAAUUGAACAAAAUGUUCCCUGGUGUAUCAUGUAUGGUUUAAUUCUUCUUAGAUACGGCAUGAAAUUUUCAUGAAAAUUCUAUUUUUUCUUCCUUUUUUUACAACUAGGAUGCAAUUAUGGUUAUUAAAAAUCAAUUUUAGAUAUCUAUAUUUUUUAAUUGUUUGGUGUUGAUUUAAUUAUUUGAAACGAUUUGAAAGUUUAAGUCUUUAUGAUUGUUCUAUGAUCAACAAAGAAGAACAGAAAAGUCUGCAAAUAUAAUCUGAAAUUCUGGCAGAAAAAAGAACGAAUUACGCUUUUGCUCCAUAUUACAACCAGUUUUCCCCCUUUGUUUGUUGACCCCAAACUAGAAAUAAAUAAAUAAAUAAAAUUAACACAAUUAUUUCUAUUGAAUUGAUGUUACCGCUGCAAAUUCCAUCAUGCUAAUACCUUCCCGUGUUACUAAUCCGUUGACGAAAAGCGGGCAUGAUUCACCUUCUAAUCUCUUGAUAUAAUACCACAACCUCUAAUGAAGCUCAAGGAAGGAAAAGCAGCUGCCCCAUCUCUUGCACCUCAUCAAUAAACUACACUUGAAACACCAAUUAAAGGUGGCAAGAUGGAAGCCCAACCUCUGGAAACAACCAUGAUCAGCUCUGUCAUACCACAUUUGUCAAGAUUCUGCCACUUCAAAAACUUUUUCAAAUUUACAAGUGAUCGUUAAUGUCCCAAUGGUGCGCUCCUUAAUCUUAUUAGUUACGUUUAGUCAGUGGCCCUCUCUUCUAGUUGAAUAGAUUUGAAUGUAUUUGGUUGGAUUGUAUGAAUUGACCAUAACUAAACACCUUAAGAAAAUUUUUAAAGCUACCAAAAAUAGGUUCUAAAUAUUGGUCAGCUAAAAAUUUCAAGUCGAUCCGAACAUUAAGAGAAGAUGAAACAAGUCUAAGUGAGAAUUUAAGGCGUAUACCUGUGUUGUUCACGCUAUAUUUAUCGUAACAAUAAAUAUUUAUACUGAAAAUGGUACUCAUUACAUUGUGCAGCGAAGAAAAUAAAAGAACCCUACAUCCAGAUCUAUGAAGAAAAGAGGAAGAAGACAAACACCGCAAGUUGGAAAUCCAGAACAUGUUGUGGAAGCCGGAAGGUAUUUAGUUCAAUUCUUGUUUUUUUAUAUUUGUUUUAAUUUUUUAUUAAUUCAAAUUACAGUAACCAAAAAAGAUAUUUGCAGACAAUAAGCUAAGUUUAUUGGAAAAUGCUGAAGAUGUUCAACAAGAGAGGUUGAAUGGGGGAACUGGUUCAAAGGUCGUCUUAGGUUUGGCAUGUACUGAAUUGGGGAGCUCAAGACAUAAGACAGGGGGUUUAAGAGGUAAAAGGGCUUGGAAGUCCCAUGGUAAGGAAUCCUUGAAGCUUGGGUGUCUACGAGCAGCUAUCAAAUGAUAUGGCUAUACAGAAUAUAAAGGCGAAUAUAAUGAUUCGACUGACAAUUGUUAACAUAUGGUUUUGAAUCUUGAUGAAGAGGCUUUCUUUGUAAAUAGGUAUUUAAGGAUUGGUUUGCUAGCCUGCUAACAUGAAAUUGUGAAAUCUCAUGAGACUACUUCGUUCAAUAAUCAAAUCAUUAGUCAAUAAAUUUAAAUGAUCAAGAAUAUCAAGUGAGAGUGCAACACAUGUCUCCAUAAAUAGUUGCACGUGCAACGCACCUGCAG